Molecule: ribosomal RNA, 450 nt
Filed under: uncultured bacterium
Lineage: Bacteria
Description: bacterial SSU rRNA
Rfam family: Bacterial small subunit ribosomal RNA
Source: RNAcentral
GUGGGGAAUUUUGGACAAUGGGCGAAAGCCUGAUCCAGCCAUGCCGCGUGAGUGAAGAAGGCCUUCGGGUUGUAAAGCUCUUUCAGGUGGAAAGAAAUCACUACCCCGAAUACGGGUGGUGGAUGACGGUACCAUCAGAAGAAGCACCGGCUAACUACGUGCCAGCAGCCGCGGUAAUACGUAGGGUGCGAGCGUUAAUCGGAAUUACUGGGCGUAAAGCGUGCGCAGGCGGUUGUGUAAGACAGGUGUGAAAUCCCCGGGCUUAACCUGGGAACUGCGCUUGUGACUGCACAGCUAGAGUACGGCAGAGGGGGGUGGAAUUCCACGUGUAGCAGUGAAAUGCGUAGAGAUGUGGAGGAACACCGAUGGCGAAGGCAGCCCCCUGGGCCUGUACUGACGCUCAUGCACGAAAGCGUGGGGAGCAAACAGGAUUAGAUACCCUAGUAGUCC